AAGGAUCAUUACUGAGUGAGGGCCCUCUGGGUCCAACCUCCCACCCGUGUUUAUUAUACCUUGUUGCUUCGGUGAGCCCGCCUCACGGCCGCCGGGGGGCAUCUGCCCCCGGGCCCGCGCCCACCGAAGACACCUAGAACUCUGUAUGAAGAUUGCAGUCUGAGCAAAAACUAAAUAAGUUAAAACUUUCAACAACGGAUCUCUUGGUUCCG
This 212-nucleotide unclassified non-coding RNA is filed under the name uncultured fungus. Its description in RNAcentral is "partial contains 5.8S ribosomal RNA, internal transcribed spacer 2, and large subunit ribosomal RNA". The record is from RNAcentral. Lineage: Eukaryota; Fungi.